AAAACGGGACUUAAUCGCGUAAAACUUACGUUUUAUAUUUAACCCGACGUUUCGGACAUGACAUUACGUCCGUGGUCACGGGUAGACGGGUAGACGGGUCUACCCGUGACCACGGACGUAAUGUCAUGUCCGAAACGUCGGGUUAAAUAUAAAACGUAAGUUUUACGCGAUUAAGUCCCGUUUUAAUUUAAUAAUAUCAUUUUGCUUAUAAUAAUCUGAGUAAUCACAGUGAAUGGUUUGACAGUAUUUCAGCUAACAUGU
Leguminivora glycinivorella is the source of this 261-nucleotide small nucleolar RNA. Lineage: Eukaryota; Metazoa; Arthropoda; Insecta; Lepidoptera; Tortricidae. The record is from RefSeq and is a predicted model, not a curated record.